RNAcentral lists this ribosomal RNA (897 nucleotides) under Bacillus subtilis. RNAcentral describes it as "bacterial SSU rRNA". It matches the Rfam family "Bacterial small subunit ribosomal RNA", at positions 25 to 903 of the family's 1533-position model. The record is from RNAcentral. Lineage: Bacteria; Bacillati; Bacillota; Bacilli; Caryophanales; Bacillaceae.
CACGACAUACCGUUGGUGCCAAAUACUUGCAAGUCGAGCGGACAGAUGGGAGCUUGCUCCCUGAUGUUAGCGGCGGAAGGGAGAGUAACACGUGGGUAACCUGCCUGUAAGACUGGGAUAACUCCGGGAAACCGGGGCUAAUACCGGAUGCUUGUUUGAACCGCAUGGUUCAAACAUAAAAGGUGGCUUCGGCUACCACUUACAGAUGGACCCGCGGCGCAUUAGCUAGUUGGUGAGGUAAUGGCUCACCAAGGCAACGAUGCGUAGCCGACCUGAGAGGGUGAUCGGCCACACUGGGACUGAGACACGGCCCAGACUCCUACGGGAGGCAGCAGUAGGGAAUCUUCCGCAAUGGACGAAAGUCUGACGGAGCAACGCCGCGUGAGUGAUGAAGGUUUUCGGAUCGUAAAGCUCUGUUGUUAGGGAAGAACAAGUGCCGUUCAAAUAGGGCGGCACCUUGACGGUACCUAACCAGAAAGCCACGGCUAACUACGUGCCAGCAGCCGCGGUAAUACGUAGGUGGCAAGCGUUGUCCGGAAUUAUUGGGCGUAAAGGGCUCGCAGGCGGUUUCUUAAGUCUGAUGUGAAAGCCCCCGGCUCAACCGGGGAGGGUCAUUGGAAACUGGGGAACUUGAGUGCAGAAGAGGAGAGUGGAAUUCCACGUGUAGCGGUGAAAUGCGUAGAGAUGUGGAGGAACACCAGUGGCGAAGGCGACUCUCUGGUCUGUAACUGACGCUGAGGAGCGAAAGCGUGGGGAGCGAACAGGAUUAGAUACCCUGGUAGUCCACGCCGUAAACGAUGAGUGCUAAGUGUUAGGGGGUUUUCCGCCCCCUUAGUGCUGCAGCUAACGCAUUACACACUCCGCCUGGGGAGUACGGGUCGCAGAACUGAAAACUCA